This 242-nucleotide ribosomal RNA is filed under the name Escherichia coli. RNAcentral describes it as "partial 23S ribosomal RNA". It matches the Rfam family "Bacterial large subunit ribosomal RNA", at positions 2676 to 2912 of the family's 2925-position model. The record is from RNAcentral. Lineage: Bacteria; Pseudomonadati; Pseudomonadota; Gammaproteobacteria; Enterobacterales; Enterobacteriaceae. RNAcentral also lists the same sequence under 2 other names.
UCCUAGUACGAGAGGACCGGAGUGGACGCAUCACUGGUGUUCGGGUUGUCAUGCCAAUGGCACUGCCCGGUAGCUAAAUGCGGAAGAGAUAAGUGCUGAAAGCAUCUAAGCACGAAACUUGCCCCGAGAUGAGUUCUCCCUGACCCUUUAAGGGUCCUGAAGGAACGUUGAAGACGACGACGUUGAUAGGCCGGGUGUGUAAGCGCAGCGAUGCGUUGAGCUAACCGGUACUAAUGAACCGU